This 398-nucleotide ribosomal RNA is filed under the name Chaetoceros brevis. RNAcentral describes it as "partial Bacterial large subunit ribosomal RNA". It matches the Rfam family "Bacterial large subunit ribosomal RNA", at positions 2460 to 2872 of the family's 2925-position model. Lineage: Eukaryota; Bacillariophyta; Thalassiosirophyceae; Chaetocerotales; Chaetocerotaceae. The record is from RNAcentral.
AAGGUACGCCGGGGAUAACAGGCUAAUCACUCUCUAGAGACCCUAUCGACGGAGUGGUUUGGCACCUCGAUGUUGGAUUAUCGCAUCCUGGAGCUGUAAAUGGUUCCAAGGGUUUGGCUGUUCGCCAAGGAAGGCGGUACAUGAUCUGAGUUUAGAACGUCGUGAGACAGUUUGGUCCCUAUCUACCGUGGGCAUUAAAAAACUGUAAAGAUUAGACCCUAGUACGAGAGGACCGGGAAACGUAAACCUAUGGUGGAUCGAUUGUUAUACCAAUAGCAUUGUCGAGUAGCUAAGUUUAUAAUAGAUAAUCGCUGAAAGCAUCUAAGCGAGAAACUAACUUUGAGAUUUGUUUUUUUUAAGACGUAAUAGAUUAUUACGUAGAUAGGCUUGUUGUAUAA